This 253-nucleotide ribosomal RNA is filed under the name uncultured bacterium. Its description in RNAcentral is "partial 16S ribosomal RNA". It matches the Rfam family "Bacterial small subunit ribosomal RNA", at positions 524 to 776 of the family's 1533-position model. The record is from RNAcentral.
UACGUAGGGUGCAAGCGUUAAUCGGAAUUACUGGGCGUACAGCGUGCGCAGGCGGUUUUGUAAGUUUGUCGUGAAAUCCCCGGGCUCAACCUGGGAAUGGCGAUGAAGACUGCAAGGCUAGAAUCUGGCAGAGGGGGGUAGAAUUCCACGUGUAGCAGUGAAAUGCGUAGAGAUGCGGAGGAACACCGAUGGCGAAGGCAGCCCCCUGGGCCAACACUGACGCUCAGGCACGAAAGCGUGGGGAGCAAACAGG